AGGUAGGAAUACCCGCUGAACUUAAGCAUAUCAAUA
Molecule: ribosomal RNA, 36 nt
Filed under: Clonostachys rosea f. catenulata
Lineage: Eukaryota; Fungi; Ascomycota; Sordariomycetes; Hypocreales; Bionectriaceae
Description: partial 28S ribosomal RNA
Source: RNAcentral